CGUAAGAUUAGCUUGUUGGUAGGGUAAUGGCCUACCAAGGCAACGAUCUUUAGCUGGUCUGAGAGGACGAUCAGCCACAUUGGGACUGAGACACGGCCCAGACAUCUACGGAUGGCAGCAGUUAAGAAUAUUGGACAAUGGGGGCAACCCUGAUCCAGGUAUACCGCGUGUGUGAAGAAGGCCUUAGGGUUGUAAAGCACUUUAAUCAGAGAAGAAGCAUUUUAAGUUAAUACCUUAUUAUGUUGACGUUACCUGAAGAAUAAGGACCGGCUAACUCCGUGCCAGCAGCCGCGGUAAUACGGAGGGUCCAAGCGUUAAUCGGAAUUACUGGGCGUAAAGCGCGCGUAGGCGGUUUAGCAAGUUGUAUGUGAAAGCCCUGGGCUCAACCUAGGAACUGCAUCCAAAACUACUAAGCUAGAGUACGAGAGAGGAGAGUAGAAUUUCUGGUGUAGCGGUGAAAUGCGUAGAUAUCAGAAGGAAUACCAAUGGCGAAGGCAGCUCUCUGGCUCGUCACUGACGCUGAGGUGCGAAAGCGUGGGUAGCAAACAGGAUUAGAUACCCUGGUAGUCCACGCCGUAAACGAUGACAACUAGCCGUUGGGCAGAUUUAACUGUUCAGUGGCACAGCUAACGCAUUAAGUUGUCCGCCUGGGGAGUACGGCCGCAAGGCUAAAACUCAAAUGAAUUGACGGGGGCCCGCACAAGUGGUGGAGCAUGUGGUUUAAUUCGAUGCAACGCGAAGAACCUUACCAAUCCUUGAAAUCUAGCGAAGUUCGCAGAGAUGUGAAUGUGCCUUCGGGAACGCUAUGACAGGUGUUGCAUGGCUGUCGUCAGCUCGUGUCGUGAGAUGUAUGGUUAAGUCCAGUAACGAGCGCAACCCCUAUCCUUAUUGCCAGCGCGUAAUGGCGGGAA
RNAcentral lists this ribosomal RNA (911 nucleotides) under marine metagenome. RNAcentral's name for it is "bacterial SSU rRNA". It matches the Rfam family "Bacterial small subunit ribosomal RNA", at positions 234 to 1137 of the family's 1533-position model. The record is from RNAcentral.